RNAcentral lists this ribosomal RNA (253 nucleotides) under uncultured bacterium. RNAcentral's name for it is "partial 16S ribosomal RNA". It matches the Rfam family "Bacterial small subunit ribosomal RNA", at positions 524 to 776 of the family's 1533-position model. The record is from RNAcentral.
UACGAAGGGGGCUAGCGUUGCUCGGAAUCACUGGGCGUAAAGCGCACGUAGGCGGAUUGCUAAGUCAGGGGUGAAAUCCUGGAGCUCAACUCCAGAACUGCCCUUGAUACUGGCGGUCUUGAGUGGUGGAGAGGGAAGCAGAAUUCCUGGUGUAGAGGUGAAAUUCGUAGAUAUCAGGAGGAACACCGGUGGCGAAGGCGGCUUCCUGGACACUAACUGACGCUGAGACGCGAAAGCGUGGGGAGCAAACAGG